UACGGGGGGAGCAAGCGUUGUUCGGAAUUACUGGGCGUAAAGGGCUCGUAGGCGGCCAACUAAGUCAGACGUGAAAUCCCUCGGCUUAACCGGGGAACUGCGUCUGAUACUGGAUGGCUUGAGUUUGGGAGAGGGAUGCGGAAUUCCAGGUGUAGCGGUGAAAUGCGUAGAUAUCUGGAGGAACACCGGUGGCGAAGGCGGCAUCCUGGACCAACACUGACGCUGAGGAGCGAAAGCCAGGGGAGCAAACGGG
RNAcentral lists this ribosomal RNA (253 nucleotides) under uncultured bacterium. Its description in RNAcentral is "partial 16S ribosomal RNA". It matches the Rfam family "Bacterial small subunit ribosomal RNA", at positions 524 to 776 of the family's 1533-position model. The record is from RNAcentral.